Long non-coding RNA from Myotis myotis, 1846 nucleotides. RefSeq lists it as uncharacterized. The transcript is spliced from 3 exons. NCBI's taxonomy places the organism in Eukaryota, Metazoa, Chordata, Mammalia, Chiroptera, Vespertilionidae. The record is from RefSeq and is a predicted model, not a curated record.
CGCUGCACCUGGGUGUACAGCCGCGCCACGCCGCCCACGCAGCGGUCGGGGUGCAUACACUUGCUGGAGUCCUCGCUGGUCUGCUCCAGCCGGCUGUGCACGUCGUUGGUGUGCAGGAUGGCAUAUAAAUAUCAUUUGCAAUGACCAGGUGUCUGCCUUUACCUGUCUAUUACAGAGGGAGUUUUCAGAAGUUCCAACUAUACCAAAUUUCAGAUCAUGGCCUAGCCCUAGAUUGUACUUGGAUCUUAAAAAUAGAAUUUUUAAGGUAUCUCCAACCUGAUCUCAACAUAGUCAAAAUCUGGAAGUCCAUCCUGUAAAACCGACAGAGACCCAGAAAAAUCCCUUUCGUUUUGACUUGAGGAGCAGAAAUGAGAACUCUUAAAGCUCAGAGAUUGAGAGAAUCAUCCUGAGUUUUGUAUUUCCCUCCCUUUUCCUUUUUCUCCAUUCACUUCCACCUCAGGAUCUUGUGCUGGAGGUAGUGGCAGCAAAGGAGCUAGCAUGGAAAACUGCAGAAGCCAAAAUUCGGAGGGAAUUUUUCAUUUUUCAUUUGGUAUAGCUGCAGUUCCAAGAGUCAGAGCCAAACAACUCUCCCCAAGCUCCCACCCUCCCCCUUUCCUGUCCUUUAGUCAUUUGGACCCCAGAUGAGACUUAAUCACUGAAGUGAGUGGUUUGGGGCUGAUGGGCUGAAUAAAGGAGGCCCAAGGACCCAGAAAGUACUAGGGAGGUAGGAGAGAAGGAAGAGAUUAGGAAAUGGAUCCCAUAAAACUGUUUGGAAACAUCUGGGCUAAUCUCCAACCUGUCAUGGUGGCUCUGCUCCUAAUUAGCAUUCCAAAGACUAUGAGGACUGAGCUAACAGGUAGACCUCUUACCAGGUCUCAGAUUAAUCAAUAGGUGACACACUCACAGGACAGUUCUGAACACCAUUUAAAGCCUUUGAAACUUGAACUGACAUUAUUACCACAGCACACAAAAAGUGAGCUGGAACUUAUUGCUUGAACCUAACCAGGUCAAGGGCCUGCUAAGAUAAAAAUACAAACAUUCUAUCUGGGAUUUAAACAAGACCCCAAGUCUCAUAAAGUGAUAUUCAAAAUUUCCAGGACACAAUCCAAAAUUACUUGGCAUUUGAAGAGCUACGAAAUUCUCAAAAGAUAAUCAAUAGAUGCCAAUAUGAGAUAGAGCACAGAUGUUGGAAUUAUUUGACAAAGACUUUAAAACAGAUAUUAUAAAAAUUCUCAAAGGAAGAAUUGUAAAUAAGUUCUGAAAUAAGAUUAAAAUGGAAAGUUAAAACAGAAGAUAUAAAGGUGAACCAAAUGGAAAUUUUAGAACCAAAAACACAUUAACCAAAUUGAAAAAUUAACUGGAAGGAUUCAAUAGCAGAAUGAAGAUGACAGAAAAUAGAAAUUAUGCCAGAUUAAUGGAAAUUAUUUGGAGAGAAGAAGGCAUGUGAUGCUAGAAAAAAAUCUGAAAAAAUAAUAGUUGAAAACUGCAUCUUUGGAGAAAGACAGAUAACUAUAAAUUUUAGCAGUGGAGCAAACCCCAAAUAAGAUAAAAUCAAAUAAAUCCAUGCCCAAACACAUCAUACUCAAAUUCCCAAACCAUCAAUGACAAAGAAAAAUUAUUGAAACAGCUAGAGAGAAACAAUGCAUUGUCUCUAGGAAAAUAAUGAUUUGGUGACAAUGAUUCUCUCCUUAGAAACUGCAGAGGUCAGCCCCCGGAGUGGCUUCAUUGGUUGGAGUGUCAUCCCAUGUACUGAAAGGUUGUUGGUUCGAAUCCUAGUCAGGGCACAUACCUAGGCUGUGAGCUCAAUCCCCAGUUGGGGCAUGUAUGGAAGGCAACCGAUUGAUGU